CCUGAUGCAGCCAUGCCGCGUGUGUGAAGAAGGCCUUCGGGUUGUAAAGCACUUUCAGUCAGGAGGAAAGGUUAACGGUUAAUACCCGUUAGCUGUGACGUUACUGACAGAAGAAGCACCGGCUAACUCCGUGCCAGCAGCCGCGGUAAUACGGAGGGUGCGAGCGUUAAUCGGAAUUACUGGGCGUAAAGCGUACGCAGGCGGUUUGUUAAGCGAGAUGUGAAAGCCCCGGGCUCAACCUGGGAACUGCAUUUCGAACUGGCAAACUAGAGUGUGAUAGAGGGUGGUAGAAUUUCAGGUGUAGCGGUGAAAUGCGUAGAGAUCUGAAGGAAUACCGAUGGCGAAGGCAGCCACCUGGGUCAACACUGACGCUCAUGUACGAAAGCGUGGGGAGCAAACGGGAUUAGAUACCCCGGUAGUCCACGCCGUAAACGAUGUCUACUAGAAGCUCGGAGCCUCGGUUCUGUUUUUCAAAGCUAACGCAUUAAGUAGACCGCCUGGGGAGUACGGCCGCAAGGUUAAAACUCAAAUGAAUUGACGGGGGCCCGCACAAGCGGUGGAGCAUGUGGUUUAAUUCGAUGCAACGCGAAGACCUUACCUACACUUGACAUACAGAGAACUUACCAGAGAUGGUUUGGUGCCUUCGGGAACUCUGAUACAGGUGCUGCAUGGCUGUCGUCAGCUCGUGUUGUGAGAUGUUGGGUUAAGUCCCGCAACGAGCGCAACCCCUAUCCUUAGUUGCUAGCAGGUAAUGCUGAGAACUCUAAGGAGACUGCCGGUGAUAAACCGGAGGAAGGUGGGGACGACGUCAAGUCAUCAUGGCCCUUACGUGUAGGGCUACACACGUGCUACAAUGGCGCAUACAGAGUGCUGCGAACUCGCGAGAGUAAGCGAAUCACUUAAAGUGCGUCGUAGUCCGGAUUGGAGUCUGCAACUCGACUCCAUGAAGUCGGAAUCGCUAGUAAUCGCGUAUCAGAAUGACGCGGUGAAUACGUUCCCGGGCCUUGUACACACCGCCCGUCACACCAUGGGAGUGGGUUGCUCCAGAAGUAGAUAGUCUAACCCUCGGGAGGACGUUUACCACGGAGUGAUUCAUGACUGGGGUGAAGUCGUAACAAGGUAGC
Molecule: ribosomal RNA, 1124 nt
Filed under: Pseudoalteromonas sp. KJF6-17
Lineage: Bacteria; Pseudomonadati; Pseudomonadota; Gammaproteobacteria; Alteromonadales; Pseudoalteromonadaceae
Description: bacterial SSU rRNA
Rfam family: Bacterial small subunit ribosomal RNA
Source: RNAcentral